This 68-nucleotide transfer RNA is filed under the name Marmota monax (woodchuck). Its description in RNAcentral is "tRNA.Gly". Lineage: Eukaryota; Metazoa; Chordata; Mammalia; Rodentia; Sciuridae. The record is from RNAcentral.
GGAUUGUGGUUCAGUGGUAGAGCACUUGCCUCCCAUGCUUGGGGCACUGGGUUCGAUCCUCAGCACCA